This 774-nucleotide ribosomal RNA is filed under the name uncultured Neocallimastigales. Its description in RNAcentral is "partial large subunit ribosomal RNA". It matches the Rfam family "Eukaryotic large subunit ribosomal RNA", at positions 26 to 637 of the family's 3401-position model. Lineage: Eukaryota; Fungi; Neocallimastigomycota; Neocallimastigomycetes; Neocallimastigales. The record is from RNAcentral.
CGCAUCUGUGCAUGCAGCAUAUCAAUAAGCGGAGGAAAAGAAACUAACAAGGAUUCCCCUAGUAACGGCGAGUGAAGCGGGAAGAGCUCAAAUUUGAAAUCUUAAAGGGUUUCCCUUUACGAAUUGUAGUUUAAAGAAGUGUUUUCUGUUGAGGUUUUGGUAAAAGUUCUUUGGAAUAGGACAUCAUAGAGGGUGAGAAUCCCGUAUUUGACCUUACUUUCAACUUUGUGAUACACUUUCAAAGAGUCGGAUUGUUUGGGAAUGCAGUCCAAAAUGGGUGGUAAAUUUCAUCUAAAGCUAAAUAUUGGCGAGAGACCGAUAGCGAACAAGUACCGUGAGGGAAAGACUGAAAAGAACUUUGAAAAGAGAGUUAAACAGUACGUGAAAUUGUCAAAAGGGAAGCGUUUGACACCAGUGUUGUUUUUCUGAAAAUCAAUUAAAGAACUGUUUAUGCUAAGUUGUUUAGACUUUAUCAGCUAACUGUUUAGUUUUGAGCUUUUCUUUAAUGCACUUUUCAGUUAACAAGUCAACAUCAAUUUCUUUUGCUGUAAAAAAGCUUGAGGAAGGUGGCUUGAGAUUCGUCUUAAGUGUUUAUAGCCUCUUGCCUAUGCAGUCGGAGAGAUUGAGGUCUGCAGCGUAGAUCCUUCGGGGCUAAAUGCAUUUGUGCUAAGUUAUAGCAUUUUAUAGACAACUUGUUGACUAUGAUUUGUCUUGUAGCUUACUCGCUUAUGUUAUUUUACCUACGCUUAGGAUGUUGACAGCAGUAUAGACUGU